This 535-nucleotide ribosomal RNA is filed under the name Kocuria sp. CMT509. RNAcentral's name for it is "bacterial SSU rRNA". It matches the Rfam family "Bacterial small subunit ribosomal RNA", at positions 334 to 878 of the family's 1533-position model. Lineage: Bacteria; Bacillati; Actinomycetota; Actinomycetes; Micrococcales; Micrococcaceae. The record is from RNAcentral.
GACUCCUACGGGAGGCAGCAGUGGGGAAUAUUGCACAAUGGGCGCAAGCCUGAUGCAGCGACGCCGCGUGAGGGAUGACGGCCUUCGGGUUGUAAACCUCUUUCAGCAGGGAAGAAGCCACAAGUGACGGUACCUGCAGAAGAAGCGCCGGCUAACUACGUGCCAGCAGCCGCGGUAAUACGUAGGGCGCAAGCGUUGUCCGGAAUUAUUGGGCGUAAAGAGCUCGUAGGCGGUUUGUCGCGUCUGCUGUGAAAGCCCGGGGCUCAACCCCGGGUCUGCAGUGGGUACGGGCAGACUAGAGUGCAGUAGGGGAGACUGGAAUUCCUGGUGUAGCGGUGAAAUGCGCAGAUAUCAGGAGGAACACCGAUGGCGAAGGCAGGUCUCUGGGCUGUUACUGACGCUGAGGAGCGAAAGCAUGGGGAGCGAACAGGAUUAGAUACCCUGGUAGUCCAUGCCGUAAACGUUGGGCACUAGGUGUGGGGGACAUUCCACGUUCUCCGCGCCGUAGCUAACGCAUUAAGUGCCCCGCCUGGGG